CUGCUUUUGUAGUAAUGUUAUGUAAUGUUCAGAGUAAUGUUAUGAACUGCUUGCUUAUGUGUGUAAAGACAGGAGAAUAUAUGUAACUAUUUACACUUUAUUUUUCCUAGAAAGUGAAAUGGAAGAUUCUUUAGCUACCUCUUUGUCAUCGUCAGCUUCCAGUAGUUCUGAGGAAAGCAAAGAGAGUUCCAGAGCUCGUGAAUCCUCCUCACGCAGUGGGCUAUCCAGAAGCAGCAAUCUCAGGGUAACCAGAACUAGAGCUGCUCAAAGAAAAACUGGUCCCGUUUCAUUAGAAAAUGGAUGUGGCAGAAAAGCCACUCGAAAGAGAGUCUAUUUAAGUGAUUCUGAUAACAAUUCAUUGGAGACUGGUGAAAUUCUAAAAGCCAGAGCUGGAAAUAACCGAAAAGUCUUAAGGAAGUGUGCUGCUGUGGCUGCCAAUAAAAUAAAGCUAAUGAGUGAUGUAGAAGAGAAUUCUAGCUCUGAAAGUGUCUGUUCUGGUCGGAAGCUGCCUCACCGCAAUGC
RNAcentral lists this small RNA (522 nucleotides) under Pan troglodytes (chimpanzee). Its description in RNAcentral is "retained intron". The record is from RNAcentral. Lineage: Eukaryota; Metazoa; Chordata; Mammalia; Primates; Hominidae.